UACGAAGGGGGCUAGCGUUGCUCGGAAUCACUGGGCGUAAAGGGUGCGUAGGCGGGUCUUUAGGUCAGGGGUGAAAUCCUGGAGCUCAACUCCAGAACUGCCUUUGAUACUGAAGAUCUUGAGUUCGGGAGAGGUGAGUGGAACUGCGAGUGUAGAGGUGAAAUUCGUAGAUAUUCGCAAGAACACCAGUGGCGAAGGCGGCUCACUGGCCCGAUACUGACACUGAGGAGCGAAAGCGUGGGGAGCGAACAGG
RNAcentral lists this ribosomal RNA (253 nucleotides) under uncultured bacterium. Its description in RNAcentral is "partial 16S ribosomal RNA". It matches the Rfam family "Bacterial small subunit ribosomal RNA", at positions 524 to 776 of the family's 1533-position model. The record is from RNAcentral.